RNAcentral lists this ribosomal RNA (467 nucleotides) under uncultured bacterium. Its description in RNAcentral is "partial 16S ribosomal RNA". It matches the Rfam family "Bacterial small subunit ribosomal RNA", at positions 28 to 507 of the family's 1533-position model. The record is from RNAcentral.
GACGAACGCUGGCGGCGUGCUUAACACAUGCAAGUCGAACGGAAAAGCCUAGCUUGCUGGGUACUCGAGUGGCGAACGGGUGAGUAACACGUGGGAGUUCUGCCCCUAACUUUGGGAUAAGCCUGGGAAACUGGGUCUAAUACCGGAUAUUCAUUUUUCCUCGCGUGGGGAUUUGUGGGAAGCUUUUGUGUCUGGGGAGGGGAGGGGGGGCUAUCUGCUUGUUGGUGGGGUGAUGGCCUACGAAGGCGACGAAUGACUGCUGACCUGGGAGGGUGGGUGGGCACAAUGGGCCUACGAGACGGAGCAGAGGGGAAUAGGAGGCAACAGUGGGAAAUAUUGUACAAUGGGGGCGAGUGUGUGGCGGCGGCGUCGCGUGAGGGAUGACGGCCUUGGGGUUGUAAAGCUCUUUCAGCUCCGACGAAGCUGUAGUGACGGUAGGAGCAGAAGAAGCACCGGCCAACUACGUG